Molecule: long non-coding RNA, 252 nt
Filed under: Salvia miltiorrhiza (redroot sage)
Lineage: Eukaryota; Viridiplantae; Streptophyta; Magnoliopsida; Lamiales; Lamiaceae
Description: long non-coding RNA (SMIL_LNC011121)
Source: RNAcentral
ACCACUAAUGCGAAGAACGGAUACAGAGAGCAUUGUAUGUAUAUGAUGUACAAGAUUUAGAAUACUCUGCAGUAAUCAACAGAAAAAUGAAAUUGAGUCCUGAAAUUUGAAAAGGUAAGACGAUAAGCAAAACCGCAGAGAAUCAAGGUCAACAGAGGCAGAAUCACCUAUACAAAAAGAGCUCUUAUCUUACAAAUUCUUUUGCCUAUUAUAUCCCAAAUUAUUCAUUAGUGACGAUGUAGAUACAAAACG